RNAcentral lists this ribosomal RNA (265 nucleotides) under uncultured bacterium. Its description in RNAcentral is "partial 16S ribosomal RNA". It matches the Rfam family "Bacterial small subunit ribosomal RNA", at positions 793 to 1055 of the family's 1533-position model. The record is from RNAcentral.
GUCCACGCCGUAAACUAUGAGAGCUAGCCGUUGGGAGAUUUAUCUCUCAGUGGCGCAGCUAACGCAUUAAGCUCUCCGCCUGGGGAGUACGGUCGCAAGAUUAAAAACUCAAAGGAAUUGACGGGGGCCCGCACAAGCAGUGGAGCAUGUGGUUUAAUUCGAAGCAACGCGAAGAACCUUACCAGCCCUUGACAUGGCAGGACGAUUUCCGGAGACGGAUCUCUUCACUUCGGUGACCUGCACACAGGUGCUGCAUGGCUGUCGU